AUCUUUCUCAAUGAUUUCCUCUGGAGAAGAACCAAUUCCAAGUCAAAAAAAUCACUCGGAUGGAUGAACGGAAUUUGGAUGGUUUAACUUGUAGUCAAAAUGACGACGGGCCCAUUGUGUACUCUUUUUGGACAGAAGACCGAGAAGACACACCACCCUUCACUGUGAGAAGAUGCUUUAACACAAGUGGUCAGUUAAGGUAAGGCAAGGUAAGAGAAGAAUGAAAGCAAAGCAAAGCAAAGCAAAGAUGCUCCCACUAAAGCUGGUACGCUCUCUGGUCUUAGGAGAAACCAUCAACAACCCUCCUCCUCUCCUUUCCCACCAUCACCAUCACAAAGAUAUCAACACCAGCUACACCCACACCAGCAGCGACAAUAAUACAGACACAACAAAAACGAGAGCCAAGACGAAGACGAAGACGAAGACGAAGACAAAGACCCCACUACUUCUGUUCUUGCCAAAUAAAGAACUUGUUACAGAUACAUACAGACUAACCAAGAUUGCAAGAGACAUGGGCAUGGACUUAUAUCCAACACCAUCUCUUUCUCACAUUAUUUUCUCAUACCCAUCAUCAUGUACAUCACCAUCGACAUCGACAUCAACUCCAUGUACAUCAUCAGUAUCGUUAUCAUGGACAUCAACAUCAUCUUUGUUGCAUUUACCAAACAAUGCCAUUCCUUUACCAUUCCCUUCACUUUACUCUUCUUCUUUAACCCAUCUUCGCUCAUUUGUUUCACUCUCAAAAGGGUUGUUCAAGCUUGCGUUUAUCAACUCAAAACACACCAAUAAAGUUAUGGGUGGAUAUGAAAGCGACAGUCUUUAUGAUAGUAACUGGGAUUGUUGUUCAUUUUCUUUGUUUUGGAGGUUAACUGGUGAUAGAAUUGAUUCCAUGGAUAAAUUUUCAAGGGCUUUAGCUGGUGUUGGAUGGACUCUUUUCAAGACCAAGGAAAAUAACACACCAAGUGAUGGAAUUGGAGGCAGCAAGAUGGUGUAUUUGUUUAGGAAAGUGGACUCAAAGCCUGUUUAUGUGGUGUCACGAGGAAAUGGCGGGGAGUGUAGGAUAAGGGAAUUGAGGUUGCCUGCUUUGGAUUUUAGAAAUACUCCUUUGAGGAUCUUGCAUUACAUACUUCUCAUGACUGAUGAUAUCUUCUACCUUUCAUAACCGGACAAGGAGGGUGUGUCAUCAGGAGAAGUGUUCCUCGGAAUAAUGGAAGAGAAGAAUGGUGUGGUUCUUGUUGGUAACAAUCAAACAACACAAGGGUAGGGUGUGGGUUGGCAAAUUGUUGAUUCAAGAUAAAAUCAUAAUAUGGAAGGGUUGCCUGAUCCUUUUACGCUACUACUUCCCUGUGUUUCUCAUAUUAAUACUAUUUCUAGUUUUUAUAGACAAUAAUAAAGAAUCAAUCGACGUGAAGAUUGAAAAUGACGAGCUUUUUCAUCGAUACCUUGUAUGCGGAGCCAUGAACUUUGGUGUGGGUUUUAUGUCUACUUGCAGUCUGAUUGAUUCAGUGAUUUGCAUAAAGAGCUUUUCAUUGAAGCCACAAUGUUAUAGUACUGCUAAUAAUCAGGUGGUGGACAGGGUGGAGAGAGAGGGAGCCUGUAAUGGAGUCAUAAAUUGCAUGAAGGGAUGGAGGCUAUUUGUUCAUAGGACUUUGAAGUACAAUAACUAACAAAAUCUCCUACUUUUUUUUAUUUUUGUGCCACAGUUUAUUAUGAUGGAAAAAACUACUGCACUUGACAGGAAAAAAGAAAAAAAAUAUUGCCUUAUUAUUAUUAUUAUUACUGCUAAUUUCACCA
Molecule: RNA transcript, 1794 nt
Organism: Populus trichocarpa (black cottonwood)
Lineage: Eukaryota; Viridiplantae; Streptophyta; Magnoliopsida; Malpighiales; Salicaceae
Exons: 3
Source: RefSeq, a predicted model, not a curated record